AUCAUGAGCCCUGGGAAUUCCUGCCAUUGUUUUGUUUUGUUUUUUUAAAUAGAUGUUUAUAUGAUCAGGAAUAGAUAAAAGUUAAUGGUGAGAUAAAACAUAUAAGGGACAUCAACCCCCCUGCUUCAGAACAAAAGCAAUACCCUGCCUAACAGAGGUAAAAUGACACUUCCUCUUACAUAGGCAUCUUUUUUAUCACAGUUGAUUCAUAAUGGAGAUUCUCCACCUUUCUGAGAAGCAUCUGGAAAUAGUCUCACUUGGAAACAGGAUACAGGAUUAGAUGGACCACUGGACUAAUCCUAUAUGGCAGUUCUUUUCCUCUGCCUAGCUGAAACCGGGAAGUCACAGCAGGAUUCUAGAUUAUAAGGCAAGAAAGGACUGUUGUGAUCCACUUGGCUGACUUCCUUAACUGGCUGGGCAGAGACUGAUUUGCAAGAUUUCAAGUCAGAAAAUUUCACCCCAUGAUUCCUGCAUCAAUGGCAAUAGUUUCCAUCUGAGAUGCAGUAGAUCUUUUAGCAGGAAGUACCAAGUCUGGAGCUAGAGAAUUCAAGUGAUCACAAAUCCUCCAUACCUCUAGAUCUUCCCAUGGCUACAGUUGGUCAGCAUGUCAAAGGAAAAGCUGAACCAUCCACAAAGUGGAAAGUUUGGAAAUGUGAUGGUGAGUUGAUACUAUUAACGGAAAUAUGUGAAAAAGAUUGAGCUAAUAGAUUAAAGACACAGAACAACAAUAAGUUACAGUUUAACACUGACAAGGAGGGAUGGUGUCUGUGUG
Gavialis gangeticus (Gharial) is the source of this 772-nucleotide long non-coding RNA. RefSeq lists it as uncharacterized. The record is from RefSeq and is a predicted model, not a curated record. NCBI's taxonomy places the organism in Eukaryota, Metazoa, Chordata, Crocodylia, Gavialidae. The transcript has 3 exons.